UACAGAGGUCCCGAGCGUUGUUCGGAUUCACUGGGCGUAAAGGGUGCGUAGGCGGUUCUGAAAGUCUGAUGUGAAAUCUCCGGGCCCAACCCGGAAAUGGCAUUAGAAACUACAGGGCUAGAGGCUUGGAGGGGGAACUGGAAUUCUCGGUGUAGCAGUGAAAUGCGUAGAGAUCGAGAGGAACACCAGUGGCGAAGGCGGCUGCCUGGCCUGUUCUUGACGCUGAGGCGCGAAAGCUGGGGGAGCAAACGGG
RNAcentral lists this ribosomal RNA (253 nucleotides) under uncultured bacterium. RNAcentral describes it as "partial 16S ribosomal RNA". It matches the Rfam family "Bacterial small subunit ribosomal RNA", at positions 524 to 776 of the family's 1533-position model. The record is from RNAcentral.